CCUACGGGAGGCUGCAGUGAGGAAUAUUGGUCAAUGGGCGUAAGCCUGAACCAGCCAAGUCGCGUGAGGGAUGACGGUUCUACGGAUCGUAAACUUCUUUUAUAAGGGAAUAAAGUGUGGGACGUGUCCUAUUUUGUAUGUACCUUAUGAAUAAGGAUCGGCUAACUCCGUGCCAGCAGCCGCGGUAAUACGGAGGAUCCGAGCGUUAUCCGGAUUUAUUGGGUUUAAAGGGUGCGUAGGCGGCCUGUUAAGGCUGCGGUGAAAGUUUGUGGCUCAACCAUGGAAUUGCCGUUGAAACUGGGGGGCUUGAGUAUGUGUGAGGCAGGCGGAAUGCGUGGUGUAGCGGUGAAAUGCUUAGAUAUCACGCAGAACCCCGAUUGCGAAGGCAGCCUGCCAAGCCAUGACUGACGCUGAUGCACGAAAGCGUGGGGAUCAAACAGGAUUAGAUACCCGUGUAGUC
This 460-nucleotide ribosomal RNA is filed under the name uncultured bacterium. RNAcentral describes it as "partial 16S ribosomal RNA". It matches the Rfam family "Bacterial small subunit ribosomal RNA", at positions 338 to 795 of the family's 1533-position model. The record is from RNAcentral.